RNAcentral lists this non-coding RNA (26 nucleotides) under Mus musculus (house mouse). Lineage: Eukaryota; Metazoa; Chordata; Mammalia; Rodentia; Muridae. The record is from RNAcentral.
UGAGAGACAAGCUGUGGUGAUCCUGU